Molecule: long non-coding RNA, 286 nt
Organism: Mya arenaria
Lineage: Eukaryota; Metazoa; Mollusca; Bivalvia; Myida; Myidae
Exons: 3
Source: RefSeq, a predicted model, not a curated record
UCGAUUUUACAAUGACAGGGUGACGACUUCCAAGCGGAAGAUUCUGAAUGAGUUGGAUAUUUCACAAGUGUUGCCGUACCUCACCUUUAUAGAAGGGACAGAGCAAAGACGAAUUAGCUCCAUGGCUAAGAGUGACCCAAAGCGUGCUAUAGAUAUAUUACUCGACAUUCUUGGUAAUUCGCCUGAACGAGGUGUUUGGACGAAAUUUCUACAAGCUUUAAAAAAAGCCGGCUUUGUAACCCUGGCAAAUAUAAUCGUUGGCUAUGAAGUGGUAGAUACAUCUCAC